UCAAACAAUCAUAUUUAUUUUGACAGAAUGUAGGUUUGGAAUUUAAAAUCCAUUUAAGCUUCUAUGCAAAGAAAGAGAGGUAAAAGCAAGCAAGCAAGCAAGCAAACAAGAAACAAAUAACUUUGGCUUAUAUAGAGGGUGGAGUUGGGGGGCGCUUGAAUGGAACUGAGCAUUUACUGGCCAGAUGCCUUCGUGAUGCCUAUGCGGAGUU
Molecule: non-coding RNA, 211 nt
Organism: Pantherophis guttatus
Lineage: Eukaryota; Metazoa; Chordata; Lepidosauria; Squamata; Colubridae
Source: RefSeq, a predicted model, not a curated record